GAGUUUGAUCGUGGCUCAGAUUGAACGCUGGCGGCAGGCCUAACACAUGCAAGUCGAGCGGAUGACGGGAGCUUGCUCCUUGAUUCAGCGGCGGACGGGUGAGUAAUGCCUGGGAAUCUGCCUGGUAGUGGGGGGACAACGUUUCGAAAGGAACGCUAAUACCGCAUACGUCCUACGGGAGAAAGCAGGGGACCUUCGGGCCUUGCGCUAUCAGAUGAGCCUAGGUCGGAUUAGCUAGUUGGUGGGGUAAUGGCUCACCAAGGCGACGAUCCGUAACUGGUCUGAGAGGAUGAUCAGUCACACUGGAACUGAGACACGGUCCAGACUCCUACGGGAGGCAGCAGUGGGGAAUAUUGGACAAUGGGCGAAAGCCUGAUCCAGCCAUGCCGCGUGUGUGAAGAAGGUCUUCGGAUUGUAAAGCACUUUAAGUUGGGUAGGAAGGGCAGUAAGUUAAAGUACCUUAGCUAGUUUUGACGUUACCGUACAGAAUAAGCA
RNAcentral lists this ribosomal RNA (495 nucleotides) under bacterium enrichment culture clone ALO1_GLFRUDD03FKWPU. RNAcentral describes it as "bacterial SSU rRNA". It matches the Rfam family "Bacterial small subunit ribosomal RNA", at positions 9 to 492 of the family's 1533-position model. The record is from RNAcentral.